RNAcentral lists this ribosomal RNA (468 nucleotides) under uncultured bacterium. RNAcentral's name for it is "partial 16S ribosomal RNA". It matches the Rfam family "Bacterial small subunit ribosomal RNA", at positions 28 to 507 of the family's 1533-position model. The record is from RNAcentral.
GACGAACGCUGGCGGCGUGCUUAACACAUGCAAGUCGAACGGAAAGGCCCUGCUUUUGUGGGGUGCUCGAUUGGCGAACGGGUGAGUAACACGUGAGUAACCUGCCCUUGACUUUGGGAUAACUUCAGGAAACUGGGGCUAAUACCGGAUAGGAGCUCCUGCUGCAUGGGGGGGGUUGGAAAGUGUCGGCGGUUGGGGAUGGACUCGCGGCUUAUCAGCUUGUUGGUGGGGUAGUGGCUUACCAAGGCUUUGACGGGUAGCCGGCCUGAGAGGGUGGCCGGCCACCUUAGGACUACGAUACGGCCCAGAAGCCUACCGGCCGCAGCGGUGGAGAACCUUGCGCAACGGGCGCGCGCCAGAUGCAGCAGCGCCCCGAGCGGAAUGCCGUCCUUCGAGUUAUAAACAGACUUCGACUGUGCCGGAGAGUUAGUGACGGUACUGGGUCAAGAAGCCCCGGCUAACUACGUG